Molecule: unclassified non-coding RNA, 329 nt
Filed under: soil metagenome
Description: partial contains 5.8S ribosomal RNA, internal transcribed spacer 2, and large subunit ribosomal RNA
Rfam family: 5.8S ribosomal RNA (bases 1-120)
Source: RNAcentral
GAUGAAGAACGUAGCGAAUUGCGAUAUGUAAUGUGAAUUGCAGAAUUCAGUGAAUCAUCGAAUCUUUGAACGCACAUUGCGCCCCUUGGUAUUCCGAGGGGCAUGCCUGUUCGAGCGUCAUUAUAACCCCUCAAGCUCAGCUUGGUGUUGGGGCCUGCUGCACUGGCAGCCCUUAAAAUCAGUGGCGGCGCCAUCUGGCUCUAAGCGUAGUAAUUCUUCUCGCUAUGGAGUCCUGGUGGAUGCUUGCCAUCAACCCCCAAUUUUUCUAUGGUUGACCUCGGAUCAGGUAGGGAUACCCGCUGAACUUAAGCAUAUCAAUAAGCGGAGGA